This 181-nucleotide unclassified non-coding RNA is filed under the name uncultured Microascales. RNAcentral describes it as "sequence contains ITS1". The record is from RNAcentral. Lineage: Eukaryota; Fungi; Ascomycota; Sordariomycetes; Microascales.
CCGAGUUAUUACUCCAAACCCAUUGUGAAUCUUACCUUCUAUUCUGUUGUCUCGGCGGCGGCUCGACCGGCCUCCCGUCCCCGUAAUAGGGGAAGAUGGGAGCCGGUUCCCCGCCGGCAGCACCAAACUCUUGGAUUUUAUAGCGGACUAUAAGCUCUGAUUACAAUAAAAAAAUGAAUCA